This 478-nucleotide ribosomal RNA is filed under the name uncultured bacterium. RNAcentral describes it as "partial 16S ribosomal RNA". It matches the Rfam family "Bacterial small subunit ribosomal RNA", at positions 28 to 507 of the family's 1533-position model. The record is from RNAcentral.
GACGAACGCUGGCGGCGUGCUUAACACAUGCAAGUCGAACGGGUUUUAGUAAACAGAAGCCUCGUUGGAAGAUUACUAAUUAGAUUAGCCCUCGGAUGAGUAACGCUUGAGCAACCUGCCUAUGACAGUGGGAUAGCCUCGCGAAACCGGGAUUAAUACCGCAUAAAAUCGUAGUAACACAUUUUUUAACGGUGAAAGAUUUAUCGGUCAUAGAUGGGCUGGCGUCUGAUUAGCUAGGUGGUGAGAUAACAGCCCACCAAGGCGACGAUCAGUAGCCGGUCUGAGAGGAUGAACGGCCACAUUGGAACUGAGACACGGUCCAAACUCCUACGGGAGGCAGCAGUGGGGAAUAUUGCACAAUGGGGGAAACCCUGAUGCAGCGACGCCGCGUGAACGAAGAAGGUAUUCGUAUCGUAAAGUUCUGUCCUAUGGGAAGAUAAUGACAGUACCAUAGAAGAAAGCUCCGGCUAAAUACGUG